GCGAACAAUCCCAAUUAGGCUGCAAUGCCAAAGGUUCAUCAUCACUGCAUUUCUGAGAUCGAAAGAGCAUGUAUUUACAUCACUGCAUUUCUGAGAUCGAGGAAUUCAUCAAUUCUCUGCGUGGAUGGAUCUGCCUCCCUGCUGGGCCGAGCAGAAGAUGUCGUGGGAGAACACCAAUCAGAAGGCGGUCCUUGACGUGAAGCUCUGAACACAAGAGGUCUCAUCGCUGAAGAAUCCGAACCUUGCCUGGUUACCUUCCUGGCCGACCAUUUAGUUGCAAAAUUCAGAUUCAGAGUACCACGUCAGGAUAUGCUCAUGCUUACCUCUUGUGUGACAGAAUCAUGGAGAAAAUGGAGAAAAUGGCAGAAAGUGGAACCAGACCGCGACGACCGACACACAACAAGGAGUCAGAGGAGGAGAGGGCUGCCAUGAAGGCAAGCCGGACGGAGGAGAUGAUCAGUUACCGGGAGACGGCUGCCAGCACAUGUCCGGCUGCUUUGGCUGAGCAUGAAGAAUCACGGUGAUUUUUAUGGACUGCUCUAGCUAGAAGAUGUGCAAGCUCUUGCUUUAUUGGUUUUCAACAUUGGCCAUAAGCUUCCAUCAUGGAUGUAUUAUACUCCCUCCGUUCCGAAAUACUUGUCGGAGAAUUGGAUAAAAAUGGAUGUAUUUAGAACUAAAAUACGUCCAGAUACAUCUAUUUCGCCGACAAGUAUUUCUGGACGGAGGGUAUUUGGGAGAGUGAAUUCCUAUUUCUACCCCUAUUUAGACAUUUUUUACGCGAAUUGCCCA
Molecule: long non-coding RNA, 789 nt
Organism: Triticum dicoccoides
Lineage: Eukaryota; Viridiplantae; Streptophyta; Magnoliopsida; Poales; Poaceae
Exons: 3
Source: RefSeq, a predicted model, not a curated record